RNAcentral lists this long non-coding RNA (10235 nucleotides) under Setaria italica (foxtail millet). RNAcentral describes it as "long non-coding RNA (SITA_LNC000466)". The record is from RNAcentral. Lineage: Eukaryota; Viridiplantae; Streptophyta; Magnoliopsida; Poales; Poaceae.
UCCACCGUGCGAGCUGAGAUGUGGAGAGGACGGGCCGCAGCCCGCAGUGCGUCGUGGGCGAGGAAGGGAGCGGCGCCGAGUCCCCGGCUCCCCGCUCGUCCGCUUCUACUGCCGUCUGCCAGGCGGAUUUAGGGCGGGGGACGGGGCCGGCGGCGCACGCGGAUUUGGGGGGUCGCGGCCGGCGACCCCGCGGGCGAUCUCCGGCUGUCAGAUGCGCGGCCUCCGGUUCCCACGGGACGGGUGGGCCCUUCGUCGGAAAUCUAUCGUCUAUGGAGUGGCGUGGUGUCGCGUCGUUUCGUGUCGUACGGGGCGCGCGGCGCCGUGGCGGUGGCCCAUCCAAACCGUACGUUGCGGGUGGACGGAGAUAACAGCGCCGUCAGCGCGCCAAAACUUCUUCGAAUCGAUUCAUCGGGUGGUGUCCUCCUAUAAAAAACUUGUUAAUAAGGUAAAUCGUUUUCUCGUUACUACUAAGCAGUAAAUAGUUAAUUAUUAUAUGUUUUUGACAAAUGAAAUAGUCCAAUCCAUCGUGUAUUUCUACUCAUCCUAUUAUAAACUAUAUAGUUCACUUUAGCCCUUGUUUACUUCCCAAGUUGGGAGGUGCCAAAUUGGCAUUUUGCCAUAAAUGCGACACUGUAGCGUUUCGUUUGUAUUUGUGAAUUAUUGUCCAAAUAUUGACUAAUUAGGCUCAAAAGAUUCGUCUCGCAAAGUACAACAAAACUGUGCAAUUAGUUUUUGAUUUCGUCUACAUUUAGUACUCCAUGCAUGUACCGCAAGUUUGAUGUGAUGGGGAAUCUUUUUUUUGCAUAGUGUCAAAGUUGGAAGUUUGGAGGGAAGUAAACAAGGGUUUAGUUUUAUAGAGUAUUAGUUUUCUUCUAUUUCAAACAUCCGGACCAUGUGACUUUGACUGCUCUGUUAGAACACCAAGUCAACCAUGAGAGGAAGGCAAUAAUGCAAAGGAUCGGUGGUUCGACUGCUAUCCUUGUACUCUCGUCUGGUUGUGGUAUUUCUUUGAUCCAGUGUAAAUUACAUUUGUGCUUAGUCAAUGUGUAGCCACUUCAAUACUCCUUCUAACAUGCGUACUCUCACAUGCCUCAAACGUGAAAAUAGGAGUCUGCUGUAAUUAUUUUAUUUAAUCAUGCCAAUUAAUAUUUAAACUUGAACCUCUAGUUCCAAUAUAAUAUUAAAUUACAUGCACCCAGCAUUUCAAUCCAAAAGUUUAACCUUAUGAAAAUGUGGGCAACUCAACUAGAUUCUAAGAUAUAGAAGAAAUCUAAUGGAUAUAUUUAAUUUGAAACGUGUAGUAGUAUCAACUGUCAUGGCAUGGCGUUUAAAAAAAAACUACCCUGCAAAGAGAGAAGUUAAUUUUUUUUUUUUUGCAAAAGACCUCUAAGACAUCUUAGAAGAUGUUUGGCACUACUCCACCACAUGUUUCUCCAGUUGCCAUGUGAGGACAAAAUUUGGAAACUCAAUCAGACAAAAGCAUAAAAGGAGACGGUUAACAAAUGUACACACGGCAUUUUUAAGAACGUUGCAUACUUGUAAAAGGUUGAUAGCCAUGGUGAAAAUAAUCAGGCAUUAAAAACCCUUGACGUACAACCUAAUACCCGAUAGAUAUCAAUGGUAUGGGCACGAAAUAUAGAAACCCUCAGCCACUUGUGGAAUUCAAAGAAACUAAGGCAAAGAUUAGAAUUCUAGUAAUUUUUGUGGCAAACCUAAGAACUUGAGCAGUAUACACUUGUGACCAGAACCAUAUCUUUGGUAGUGCUUCAGUAGACUGUAUGAUAAUUGUCGUACCAAAGUUGCACCUUCUUACUCACAUCUUAAUGUUUCUACAUUUCAUACUUACAACCUACAUUUCAUACUUACAACCUGUAUGCAUGUAAUUAGGAUUGACUUUUUAGGUUGCAAAUUUCUUUUAUGGGUGGGUGCAAACUCUAGAUAAACCUAAGUCACCAAUCUAGAUAUAACUGUUUAGGUUCAUUUUGUAGUGUAGGUCAUAUAUAUGUUAAGAUUUUAGUUGUUUUAGGGCAUUUGGGCACUGCUUCCUUUCACAUAUGAAGGGCAUGGUUAUCCCAAGUAGAUCUGGGAUUGGAAUGAUAUCCAUAAUCCAACCAGCGAUAUUGAACUAAAGUCCUAUAGAUGCAACGCUACCAUCUUAUUCAAUCCUAAUAGUAGAUGCUGCCAUCCAAUCCAGUCCAAUCCACGCCGUUGAAAUCCAUAUCCAUCCUACCAAUCCAAUUUAAGCACAGCGAGCAGUAGGUUUCUGCGAAAGCAUACCAAGCAGCUUAGCUUGGUUCGUAGCACUACAAGACUAGUGACUAACCAAAAAGUGUCAUAAACGCGUUUUUUAUCAUAAAUCGUGAUUUAUGACGUGGGAGUGACGAAAACACUUCGUCAUUAGUCGAGCGUCAUAAACCACGACUAGUGACGUUCCUUAUUUCGGUGCGUCACUAAGAUAAUGACAAAUGAAAAUUCAUCCCACAUGUCGUUAUAAACUGGCAUGCCACAUUGGACCACAGUCUGAUGUGGCAUGACGGUUGUGACGAACUGUUUCGUCAUAAAUUGAAUUAGGCUUAGUUCUUGUUGGACCGAGCCCAAUAAUUGCUGUCAUCAUAGAUUGAUUUAGGCCCAACUUGUUGUGCCCAGUCCAAUAAUUCCUGUCAUCAUAGAUUGAUUUAGAUCCAAUUCUCCUUGAAACGAGCCCAAUAAUUGCUGACGUCAUAACUUGGUUUAGUGUAGAGAAGUAGAUGGGAAACACCGCACACCCUAAUGGGGGGGUGACCUCUAUAUAUAUGACCAAUACGGCUUGGAGUACAAGGAAUACAUCAAAUGUACAAGGAAAUGAUAAAUAUAUCCUAAUAUACACAUAUACCUAAUACCCGCCCGCAGUCAAAGUAGGAGGAUCACGGACGCACAGACUGGACCUAAACUCAAUAAACAAAGGAGUUGGCAGGCCCUUCGUCAUGAUAUCCGCGAACUGGUGAGAGGACGGCACAUGGAGGACCCGGACCUCACCCAAGGCCACCUUUUCACGAACAAAGUGAAUAGAGGACGACACAUGGAGGACCCGGACCUCACCCAAGGCUACCUUUUCAUGAACGAAAUGAAUAUCAAUCUUGAUGUGCUUCAUGCGCCGAUGAUGCACCAGGUUGGCUUUCAUGUAGACAGCACUCACAUUGUCAUAGUAGACAACAGUGGCCGAAGCAAGCAGGACAUGAAGCUCCUGAAGAAGUUAACGCAGCCAGCAACAUUCUGCCAUAGCAUGAGCCACAGCCCGAAACUCUGCCUCAGCACUGGAACAAGACACCGUGGUCUGACGCUUGGAGGACCAAGACACCAGAUUGUCGCCGAGGUAGAGGCAGAAGCCGGAGGUGGAGCGUCUAGAGUCCGGACAGCCAGCCCAGUCGAUGUUGGAGUAGGCAGUCAGAGACUGAAUAGGGUUGGUGCCGAUGUGAAGCCCGGAGGAGAGUGUGCCCUUCACAUAGAGCGGGAUGCGCUGGAUUAGGGCCAUGUGGGGCUCGCGCGGGUAAUGCAUAAAAAGGCACACCUGCUGAACCGCAUACGCCAGGUCAGGUUGAGUAAGAGUGAGGUACUGAAGAGCCCCAACAAGACUCUGAUACUCAGAGCCGUCCUGGAGCUUGGCACCGUCGUGUGCCGAAAGCUUGGCAUGAGUGUCAAUGGGAGUCGUUGUAGAGUGACACUCAGCCAUGCCAGCACGCUGAAGCCCAACAAGACUCUGAUACUCAGAGCCGUCCUGGAGCUUGGCGCCGUCGUGUGCCGACAGCUUGGCAUGAGUGUCAAUGGGAGUCGUUGUAGAGUGACAUUCAGCCAUGCCAGCAUGCUGAAGAAGAUCCAGGGCGUACUGUCACUGAGACAGGAACAGGCCCUGUGAGGAACGUGUGACAGAGAUGCCGAGGAAGUGGUGUAGGUCACCAAGAUCCGUCAUGGCGAACUCGGAGUGAAGACACCCCAUGAUGUGUUGAAGAAGAGUUGAGGACGAGGCGGUGAGGAUGAUCGACGUAGAGCAGCAUGUAGGCAAUGCUUGGCCCCUCUUUAUAUACAAAGAGAGAGGUCGGAGGUGGAGGCGACGAAGCCAAACUGUUGAAGGAAGGAGGCGAACCGCUGGUACCACGCCCUCGGGGCUUGCUUCAGUCCAUACAAGGACUUCUGCAGGAGAUAGAUGUGAUCGGGGGUGGUGGGGUCGAUGAAAUCGGGAGGCUGCUGUCAGUAGACAGUCUCCGUGAGGUGUCCAUGAAGAAAUGCAUUCUUCACGUCUAGUUGGUGGAUCGCCCAGGCAUGAGAAGUGGCGAUGUUGAGGACGAUCUGUAUCAUUGUCGGUUUGACAUCCAGACUGAUGGUCUCAUCAUAGUCGAUGCCGUGAUGCUCGGAGAAGCCACGAACCACCCAGCGCGCCUUGUGUCGGGCGAGGGACCCAUCGAUAUGGAACUUAUGCUGGAAGAUCCACUUGCCCGACACGACAUUGGCACUGGGCGACCGCGGGAUGAGGCGCCAGGUGUCGUUGUCGAUGAGAGCCUGGAACUCGUCGACCAUGGUGGCACGCCAGUUGGUGUCAGCCAGAGCACUGCGAUAGUUCGCCGGAAUCGGAGAGGGCGGAGAAGAAGUUGAGGCUGUCAUGCCCUUGUACUGGACCCACUGGAUUGUCCCAAUCAAAGACCAAGUGACAGGGCGCGGAGGGGCAAGUGGUGAUGAGGAGGGUGCAAGAGGCGCUAGGGUCGCGGGCGCGGGGGGAGGACCGUGAGCGCUCGCCCGACCGAUUGGAGCGCAUGCCGGUGCGGUCGGGGCGCUCGCCCGAUCGAUCAGAGCACGCACCGGUGCGGACGGUGCGAUCAGGGCUGCACCCGCGCGUGAUGCGGUCGCGGUCGGAGCAGUCGGGAACGCACCCACGUGCACCGCGGUCGCGGUCCGAGCAGUCGGGAGCGCGGCGGUCGCGAUCGAGGCCAUACCCGCGCGUGGCGCGGUCACGGUCGGAGCAGUCGGGGGUGCACACAAGCGCGCUGCGAUCACGAUCGAAAGCGCUGCGGUCAUGAUCGGAGCAGUCGGGAGCAUGGUGGAGAGCGGCGACUCACCCGCAGAUGGAGUGGCGUAUACGAUCGGCCCGUGUAAUAGGAUGGCGGGGUCGUCGUUAGUGAGUUCCUGCAAAACAAGUGGUGAGGGCCACGACUGCUCAACGUCUGACGACGGAGCGACCGAGAUGGUAGUUGAACAUCAGAGGGGUUCGACAAGAGGAAGUUGAGCUAUGAUGGGUGAGUAGGAUAGGAGGAGAAGGGAAAGAUGGACUCGUCGAAGAUAGCAUGGUGAGAUAUGAUGACUUGACGGGUGGACAAGUCAAGGCAGCGGUACCCCUUGUGAGAUGAGGGAUAACCGAAGAAGACACAGGCUGUGGAGCGAGGAGCAAGCUUGUGGCGUGCCGUGGCUGAGAGGUUGGGGUAGCAAAGACAACCGAAGACACGCAAGUGAGAGUACUCGGGAGGCUGGGAGUAGAGGAGGUGGUAGGGAAUGUCAUUCUUAACGGCAGAACAGGGGUGCCGCUUCAGAAGAUAGGUGGCGGUGGCGAGCGCCUCGGCCCAGUAUGGGGCGGCCAUGGAGGCGUGAAUGAGCAAUGUGCGAGUCAUGUUAUUAAGGGUGCGUAGGACACACUCGGCUUUCCUAUUUUGGGGAGAAGUGUAGGGACAUGAGAGGCGCAAGCGGAUACCCCGAGAAGUCAAAAAGGAUGUGAGAGUCGUAUUGACAAACUUGGUCCUGUUGUUAGCUUGGACGCUUCGAACAGGAAGAUAAAACUGUGUGUGAGCAUAUGCGUAGAAAUCAGUGAUGUGUGAGGCGACUUCAGACUUGUGAACCAGAGGAAACGUCCAACAAAAAUGCGAGAAGUCAUCCGAAAUGACUAGGUAGUAGCGAUAACUAGAGAUGCUAGCUACAGGAGAAGUCCAAACAUCAUAGUGAACUAACUCAAAAGGAGCAGAACUGCAAGGCUAGAAUGUGAGAAAGGUAACCGCGCAUGUUUCUCUAACUGACACGAAUGACAUAGAGUAUGACUAUCUUUAUUACAAGCAAUGGAUGAAGUUUGUCUAAGUGUGGCGAUGGCGGCAGGACCAGAAUGACCAAGACGGAGAUGCCACAAACUGGAGGAGAUGGCAAGGCUGGUGUGGGGCUCUGCAAAGCUGGCUGCUGGGGGCAUGGUGUAAAAAUCGCCAAUGCUAUUGCAGUGAAGAAUCACGCUUCUGGUCGAAAAACCCUUGACAGAAAAACCAAAAGCGUCAAACUCUAUGGUGCAGUUAUUGUCCUUAGUAAACUGACGAACAAAAAUCAAAUUACGAAUCAGAGAAGGAACAACAAGGACAUUGUUAAGACGAAAGUGAGAGGUAGGGGUGGUAAGGGUGGAGUUGCCAUGGCACGUGAAAAUUACCGACAGUAACGGAGGAGUAAGAGGGAGGGAGUCGGGAAAGAAGAAUACCAUCCGAGGAUGACAUGUGGCCGGAUGCACCUAAUUCAACUACCCAGUCGCUGUUCUGCAACGCUAUCUGGUUUAGGGUGGCAACCAGACCCCCCUGGUCCCAAGUUGGCGCCUGAGUGGGCACCUGAACAGGGGCGUAGGUGGCGUGGGCCUGCGGAGGGGGGCUGAGGAGACCAGGGCCACCGGGGCGCCAGCCCCCACUGCUCGACGGGUGCUGACCACCAGCCUGCUGGAAGCCCGUAGCGUCGUAGGAGCUGGCCCUUGGACUAGAACAGAACCACGGGCCGGUGGGCAGUGGGGGCCCACCACGGUGAGAGCCACCGCCGCCAGGGGGCACUUGGAAGCCGCUGCUGCUCUUCUUCUGCCACUUCUUCUUGCUGCCGCUGCCACCGCAGCCGCCGCUGCUGUUGCUACCACCGCUGCCGCCAGUCUGGACAGAACCAGACGGCGGGCGACACCCGCCUGUACAAUCGAAGGAUGAAGACGACGAGGAGUUCCCGAAGAGGAGGGCAGUGGAGUUAGAGAUCUUCUCCUCGUUGGUGAGGCAAGUUCCUUCAAGGCGAGCAUGUCACGCGCCUGGGCGAAGGACGGGAAGCCGACGGUGGAGUUGGCGAUGUCGUCGGAGGUGUUGGAGAAGCACGGGUUGUGGCCACGGAGGAGAUUCAGGAUAAGCUGGGAGUCCUGAACGGGAUCGCCGAUGUCAUAGAGGGUGUCGGUGAGGGUCUUCAUGUGCUGAUAGUACUUGGUGAUGGAGGAGUUGCCAUGCGUCAUGGAGUGGAAGUCAUGGUUGAGGAAGAUCGUCCGGGACUACUUGUUGGCGCGGAAGAGUCCCUCGAUGGCGAGCCAGAGAUCCUGGCCAGUCUGAUCGUCGUCGGUCAUGGUGAGGUCGAGGAUGAAGUCGUCGACGGAGCUGAAGAACCAAGAGCGGACGCAGCAAUCCGCUUUAUCCUAGUCGAGGUCCUAGGGAUGAGGUGCCGCCAUGCCAUCAAUGUGCGACUUGAGGCCGAACUUGCCGCACAUGGACUUGAAGAAGGACGCCCACUUGGAGUAGGCGGAGGACUUCAUCAUCAACGUCAUGGGAAUGUGAGACUUGACAGAGACGGUGGUGUAGGGGUGGACGGCGGGCGUGGGCGCCUGGUACAGGAGGAAGCUGCCGCCACCGUGGCUGGGCACAUCACCGGCUGGGGGAGUGAGGGGCGCGCCGCCAGGAGGAGGACCACCCAGGAGGCGGCAGAGGGGUGCCAGAACUGCCAGGAGGAGCGGUGGCAUCACCGGUAGGAGGGGGGUCACCGCCGGACAGGGAGGAGUCGGCGGAGGAGUAGGUGGCCAUGGUGCGUGGGGCAGGAGGUGCAGUAGAGGGGGUGACGGCAACACAACUGGAGGGGCACCGCCCUAGGGUUUCGUGCGGGACAGGAGGGAGGCGCGAGGGAGAGGAGGAGAGGCCCACGAUCUAAUCUCGUGAUACCAUGUAGAGAAGUAGAUGGGAAACACCACACACCCCAAUGAGGGGGGGUGACCUCUCUAUAUAUAGCCAAUAUGGCUUGGAGUAUAAGGAAUACAUCAAGUGUAUAAGGAAAGGAUAAAUAGAUCCUAAUAGACACAUAUACUUCCUAAUAUUUAGGCCCAAUUCUUGUUAGAUCAAGCGCAACAUAUGCUGACAUCAUAACUUUGUUUAGGCCUAAUAAAAUAAUGGGCCGAGGGGGUGAGCCCACGAAAUUUUGGGCCUAGUUAUUUUCGGGUGUAGCCCAGGUAGCACUUAAUUAAAAUAUAAUCUAAUUUAUUAUUACAUACAAAUCAAUUCAGUAAUUGACAACACCAUUAAUCUUUACAUACCACACAUACAAAUAAAUAUUUUUCAUCACACUUCACACAUUAUUAUUCAUGACCAAAGAACAAGCACAAGCAUAUUAUCUAUAAGAGAUCACAAACCACUACACAUGAUAUCUCUCUGACAAGAACAAAGCUGCCUAGAAACACAUUGAGCACAAACCACAAUACUCACAAACCAGCACAAGCAGCUGGGAGUCAAUGAGCCGAUGCCUAAGAAACACAUUGACCUUACCCUCUGAAGUUUAGCAGUUCAUGAAGGAGGUACUCAGUUUCUCUUACUGAUUUCUUCAAACUCUCAAUCUCCUCGGACUGCAUUUUCAUUGCUGCAUCUGAAGCUUGUGCCUUCAUCUUCAAGUUGCUCAACAGCUACUCCUGUUCAAUAACUUGUUGUCUUAAUUCUGCAGCUUCUUGUAGCCCUCCUAAAGAAAACUUCAGAUCUUGAGCUUGUAGUUGAGGCUGGCUGCAUGGCCACAUAAUCAAGGAAGGGACUUGACUACAAAUCAUGAGGACCAGAAUUUGGUACUACAACCCCAAGGAUUAUUUUCAAUAUUUCAACCUACAAAUGAAAGGAGCAGAAGUCAAACUUCAAUCUGAAACAAAGUAACCGAAUAAAGUAAACAAUACACGAGCAGGAUAAUCACUUGUUUAGUUACAUACUACAACAUGUGAUUGAAUUUCAGCAAUGUAGGAACGUGAUAGUAGGCCCUGCACAAUAAGUAUUUGGUUAGUUGUAUUAGAUAUAAGGAACAGAAUGUACCGUGACCAUAGAAAUACAAAUGCUAGCCUUGCAGAUAGAUCUAGAGUAGCCAAGGUAAGAGAAGAAUCUCAAAUCUAACACAAUACACCGAGAAAUUGAUGACCUCGCUAAAAAAAUACUCUAGCAGCACAAGGGCUGUGGCCACAUCUAGGCGUAACUAGGCUCCGCUCCAGAUAGAAAUAAACUUGAGCAGAGUGCUCGCCGGUGAAGCAGAUGUAGAUCCAGAAAAUUUGAGAGAACUAUAGAGAAAAUAAAUGAGAUUCUCACUUGUGGAGCUCGAAGAUGCAGUGGCUCAUGGUUGGAUGGGGCACCCGGUGCUUGCGUGACAUCCUCGAUCAACUGCUCAGCUGCGCAAGCAUGGGCGCAACCGCUGCAAGGAUGCUGAGAUGUUCCUCCAAGAGUGUCGCUGACCAUGCUGUACCUUGAUGCUCGCCGCCCGUGGAGCUUGCCGCCGCCGCUGAGGUACCCCACGGCCGCCUAGGUCAGCCGCCACCGCAGAUUUAGUUGGACUUUACAUCCAGCAGAGAUGAGAGUGCUGAUUUUGGAAAUACAAGGCUGGAGAUCGGAGGGGCACUGCGGUAGCCAUAUUUUUAUUAUUUGGGGGGAGGUGAGGGAAUACAGAAUUUGAAGAUCCCACUUUCAAUUUCUUGGGUGCAAAAUGAAAAUUUGUUAAGCUGCACUUGCUGCGGGGUCACCGACAAGAUUGUGCGCUCUUAUCGGACCCAUUUGUUAGCGAAGCUUGGUGCAUUUCAUCUUGCAUACAACAUAGACGGGAGAUGGAUAUCUAGAAGAGGCCCACGCUUCAGUGAAUCUGGAUGCGUUUCCAGUUGCUGACCACAAAGGGGAACAUUUGCUUUCUCCAACUAUAAUGCCUAUGCGCCUGUUUUUUUUAACUCAUGUGGAUGUUAGGAUUUUCUUUCUUUUUAUCCUAACCAAAGUGCAUUGGUGUACCCACCGAAUAUUUCGCAUGCCUACCGUGAAUGAAAGCCUGCAUAUUCUGCUCUAUACUUGUGGCAGGAUUCCUAAUCAGUGUAGGCCUGCGUAUUCCGAGCAUCCCACGUAUUUUCAUGGCUACUGUAAUCCCAUGAGGCAUGAGCUAGGAGAAGGUGCACUGCGUUGUUGAUCGGUCAUGGUGCUUCAAUAAAUAGGUGUGCCCCCAAGGCUUUUGCUCAUCGG